RNAcentral lists this long non-coding RNA (785 nucleotides) under Nicotiana benthamiana. RNAcentral's name for it is "long non-coding RNA (NBEN_LNC013864)". The record is from RNAcentral. Lineage: Eukaryota; Viridiplantae; Streptophyta; Magnoliopsida; Solanales; Solanaceae.
AUAUUCGAUCUUGAAAAGCACUAAUUUGCACUAGUGAGAGAAGUACCUGAGUAUAGCCAGUUAGAAAUGGGCCAGACAUUAGCAUACAAACAAUUGAUUUCGCCACAUCCUCUGGAGUCCAGUGGAAGUUCCCUAUGACAUGGGCCAGACAUUAGCAUGCAAACAAUUGAUUUGGCCACAUCCUCUGGAGUCCAGUGGAAGUUCCCUAUGACAAGGUGUCAGAAAUGUAUUAGAUAAAUGCAGAGAACCCACUAAAUACAUAUUGUUUAGUUAGAACUCCAUGAAUAGAAGUUUUUAUUGAAAAACAGUUUCAUUUGCAAAACUGAUCCACAAAUAGAUCAUGAAGUACAAAAUUUUCCAAAUUCAACUUAAAGUGACAGCUAACUCUGAUGGCAGAUCUACUAUUAUUUGCAUUUCAGCACCAAGCCAAAACAUGAUAUGCUUUUAAUAGGCUAUAACACUAGGCAAUACUUCCCUUUUGCAAUUGGGGUGAUGGCCUCAUAAUCUCAUAUUUGUUUACACGGACUGAUGACAAUGUACACCUGAGUUAAGAUUUUGUAUGAAUAUGAAGUGUUCAAUUCAAAUAUAAGAGCAUUUCAUGAUUUAACAAAUAAAUGCUUUGCCUGCAUUUCUUUAAUGUUUGGGAAAUUAAAAUUGAAUGACACAAACAGCAUAUGAACAUAGAAAUUGGAAGUAUCUAGGGCUAAAGAUUGAAGGAGACAUUUAAAUACUCCUUGGACAUGUCACUAGCAAUUUAGCUUUAAGAAUAUGGGCCUAGUAGUACC